RNAcentral lists this ribosomal RNA (502 nucleotides) under Vermamoeba vermiformis. RNAcentral describes it as "SSU rRNA". It matches the Rfam family "Eukaryotic small subunit ribosomal RNA", at positions 1215 to 1719 of the family's 1831-position model. Lineage: Eukaryota; Tubulinea; Echinamoebida; Vermamoebidae. The record is from RNAcentral.
UUACGAGGUCAGGACACUGUGAGGAUUGACAGAUUGAAAGCUCUUUCUUGAUUCAGUGGGUGGUGGUGCAUGGCCGUUCUUAGUUGGUGGAGUGAUUUGUCUGGUUAAUUCCGUUAACGAACGAGACCUUAACCUGCUAAAUAGUCACGCGAACCGGUCCGCAAGGGCUCAAAGUUCGCGGCUCGACUUCUUAGAGGGACUAUUCGCACCCGCCAGCGAAUGGAAGUUUGAGGCAAUAACAGGUCUGUGAUGCCCUUAGAUGUUCUCGGCCGCACGCGCGUUACACUGACGGAGUCAACGAGCGUUUUUCCUUGCCCGAUAGGGUUGGGUAACCUCCUGAAACUCCGUCGUGAUGGGGAUAGAUCAUUGCAAUUAUUGAUCUUGAACGAGGAAUUCCUAGUAGGCGCGAGUCAUCAACUCGCGCCGAUUACGUCCCUGCCCUUUGUACACACCGCCCGUCGCUCCUACCGAUUGAACGGUCCGGCGAGAACUCCGGAUGGUC